RNAcentral lists this ribosomal RNA (494 nucleotides) under uncultured bacterium. RNAcentral's name for it is "bacterial SSU rRNA". It matches the Rfam family "Bacterial small subunit ribosomal RNA", at positions 29 to 518 of the family's 1533-position model. The record is from RNAcentral.
AUGAACGCUAGCGACAGGCCUAACACAUGCAAGUCAGGGGCAGCACAAGGAGCAAUCUGAGGUGGCGACCGGCGCACGGGUGAGUAACACGUAUGCAACCUGCCUGUAAGCGGGGAAUAACCCGUUGAAAGACGGACUAAUACCGCAUAAUACUAAAUUACUGCAUGGUAAUUUAUUUAAACAUUUAUGGCUUACAGAUGGGCAUGCGCAUGAUUAGCUAGUUGGAGAGGUAACGGCUCCCCAAGGCAACGAUCAUUAGGGGUUCUGAGAGGAAGGUCCCCCACACUGGUACUGAGACACGGACCAGACUCCUACGGGAGGCAGCAGUGAGGAAUAUUGGUCAAUGGACGAGAGUCUGAACCAGCCAAGUCGCGUGCAGGAAGAAUGUCCCUAUGGAUUGUAAACUGCUUUUGCAGGGGAAUAAAGUGCAUCACGUGUGAUGUUUUGAAUGUACUCUGCGAAUAAGGAUCGGCUAACUCCGUGCCAGCCGCCGC